GACAUGGAACCCAAUCAAUAACAAGAAGUAUGAGACUUUGUCCUACCUUCCUGCACUUUCUGAUGAUUCAAUUGCAAGGGAGAUUGACUACAUGAUUAAAAAGGAAUGGAUCCCUUGCCUUGAAUUCGAUGAGGUGGGGCAUGUGCAUAGAGAGAAUAGCCGGAUGCCAGGAUACUAUGAUGGGAGAUAUUGGACAAUGUGGAAGCUCCCC
This 211-nucleotide unclassified non-coding RNA is filed under the name Hevea brasiliensis (rubber tree). Lineage: Eukaryota; Viridiplantae; Streptophyta; Magnoliopsida; Malpighiales; Euphorbiaceae. The record is from RNAcentral.